Molecule: transfer RNA, 84 nt
Organism: Trichinella nativa
Lineage: Eukaryota; Metazoa; Nematoda; Enoplea; Trichinellida; Trichinellidae
Rfam family: tRNA
About the family: Transfer RNA (tRNA) molecules are approximately 80 nucleotides in length.
Source: Rfam
GACGGGAUGGCCGAGUGGUCUAAGGCGCUGCGUUAAGGUCGCAGUCUACAUACGUAGGCGUGGGUUCGAAUCCCACUUCCGUCA